GAGAUCUUGCAAUUCAAUUUCUGGUGUACGGACCAAACCCAAUUUUAAAAAAUCCCAUACGGUUGAUUUUCUGUUCCUGUUACUGCCAGCAUUUCCCAGUGAGGCGCUGCUGGAAAGUCUAAUUUGAGGCUUGGGACUUGGGUGAGUGUGAAACUGAUUUUGGAUUCUUGGCUUUGAAAUUAUUUUGCUGGUAUUGAAUGCGCUGGUCCUACUUGAUGAGAAUUGGCUUCUACUGCUACUGCUUCUGCUACUGAAACUUG
This 260-nucleotide unclassified non-coding RNA is filed under the name Hevea brasiliensis (rubber tree). The record is from RNAcentral. Lineage: Eukaryota; Viridiplantae; Streptophyta; Magnoliopsida; Malpighiales; Euphorbiaceae.